Molecule: non-coding RNA, 703 nt
Organism: Protopterus annectens (West African lungfish)
Lineage: Eukaryota; Metazoa; Chordata; Ceratodontiformes; Protopteridae
Source: the annotation of a RefSeq genome assembly
GGACUGAUACAUAGUACAAGACUGCAAGUGGUCAUGCGGCGCUUGUGUGCUCUGUUUCUGCUGACUUUGCUAAGCAGUGCUAUUCAUACUGUAACCAGUUAUUCUGUACUAACUCGCAGCAGAGGAGAAAAUGUUACACUGAACUGCACCAGACUGGAUAGCAACCACAACAACAUGUACUGGUACAGGCAAUACCCCGGAAAGGGACUGGAACUCCUGUACUACUCCUAUGGACAAGAUAAGCAGGAGGAAGGAGAUGUGAAGGAUCCCCGAUUCACAGCCAGCAGACCUACAGUAGAAAAGUUCUAUUUGGAAAUCAGAAACCUGGAGCCCCAGGACAGCGCCAUGUAUUUCUGUGCGAGUAGUGAGACACAGCGAGUUAUUAUAAAGGCAGCCUCGUACAAAAACACCCCAGAUAUGCAUUGCAGACUUCACUUGCUUUUGCCGUUCAAGUACUCUGAGCCAACUUUCCUUUUUAAACAGUGGUUUAACAUCAAACUGGCUACCGUUCAUUUUGAAGACAUUGCAGUAUUUAUUUUUCACUGCUGGUGUUUUCUUUCUGUUGGUAACGUGCGUGCAGUGCGCACAGCGAUAAACUAAAUCAGGGACAAAUCUGAACAAAAUCAGGGACAGAUCCAGAAAUAAUCGGGACGCUUAAAAUAUUAGCACUAUUAACUACAGACAUUGACAAAAUGCGAGAAUG